UCAUCUAUGAUUAUUGCAAAGACACUGAGAGGUACCCAACACUGCCAGUGAAGUGCUCUUUGAGCCCAUGGAAUUGAAAUUGAUGACCAAUUGACCCUGUGAUCAAUUUUUUCUUCUUUUACUAUUUUUAUUCCUUUUUAUUUGUAUAUUUUGAGAUGAGUUUAAAAUGCGUAUUUUUUGUCCCAUGGACCCAUCUUUGUGUUGCAUUAUUG
This 212-nucleotide unclassified non-coding RNA is filed under the name Hevea brasiliensis (rubber tree). Lineage: Eukaryota; Viridiplantae; Streptophyta; Magnoliopsida; Malpighiales; Euphorbiaceae. The record is from RNAcentral.